Molecule: long non-coding RNA, 2088 nt
Filed under: Homo sapiens (human)
Lineage: Eukaryota; Metazoa; Chordata; Mammalia; Primates; Hominidae
Description: PCBP1 antisense RNA 1, transcript variant 49 (PCBP1-AS1)
Source: RNAcentral
GUCCCCGGCGUCCGGGCGCCCUGCAUGGAUCCCCCACCCCAGCUCCUGCUCCCCGGCGGCGGCCGGUGGGCAGAAAGACCGAAACCCACUCACGGCCGCCUGCCGAAUCGCGGCUCUGCUGUUUGUGGGGCGUGCUAGAAACGUGGUCCUAAAAAGAAUGGCGUCCAUUUACAUAAUGCUUUGUUUGCGUUUCGCAAGUUUCUUUCGGUUAAAGCCACAGAAACCCCACCUCCUGCCCUUGUGUCGUUUCCACCGCGGCACCCUUUUCCGACAUUAGAAACAAUAGUGUACGCCUGUGGAGGCCUCGUUUGUUCAGGGGCUGCCGGCCAGGGCUUCAGGACGUUUCUGCGGCUUUCCCCGCGCGGCCUGGGCUCCCGCGGCUGCUUUUCGGGCCCAUGGGCGCAGCCACUGCGCCAGGCUCAAGGGGGGCGGCCCCGUCAGGGCCCGCCAUCUUGGAAGGCCUUUUUUGCCGGUUCUUCCCGCUGAGGAAGUGUCGCUCAAGACGCUGGCCUAUGAGUUGUGAUUUCUGCCUUUUCCCCUUCCUCCUUGGGCUAAGCCAGACCAGAAAGGGCCCCGUGCGCAACGUGCUUCACAAUCUCUCAGGGAAAGCGGCUAACGUGGCGCUACUCCGCCUCCCCUGUUCCUUACCCUUGGGGCGGCCGCCAUGUUUCCUGAACACAAAAUGGCGACACGUGGUUAGCAUUCGUCGCCAACGAGAAAUUGGGGUCGGCCCGAAAGCUCUAGAAUGCACCCCUCUUCCUCCCCGGGGCCUUCCACCUCCGCGAGUUUUAUGACUUAAAAAAGCCCACAGGCUGGUCUGAAGGUCGGAGGCCUAAUUUUAACGCGUUUUCCUCCCUUUAAUUUGAAACGGGAACGCGAAUGACUGUAAAAUGUGGGCACAAUAUUUAAUCUCUCGCCUUUUUAAAGCUUAAUAGUGGAUAAUAGGGGGGCAGUAUCAAGGGAUAAUUUGGGUCCCCACAGUACCAAAGCAUUUAGAAACCUCUGUUUAAUUUAAGGAAUGAGAUAAGUUACUGCUUUUCUAGACUUCCUAGCAUGGGCUGUUGUGCUGGAGAGAACGAGAGCUACGAAGAGACUACAGUGCCUCUGACUUUUUCAUAGGACAGUUGGCCGAGGAAGACAAACAUAAAGAUGAAGUGCUUAAUUCAAGGUCACACAAUGUCGGGGAUGGACCUCCAGAUUUCCUUACUGACCUGCAUUAUCUUGUGGAUACCUGAGUGAAUUCCACACCACCCAUUUUAUAGAUGAAACCACUGAGACAUGGAGCAAUUGACUGAGUAGUCACUGCCCCACCCCUGCCUGGAGCCUCACACAUGACUCGCCUCCUCUCAGUGACCACAGGAAAACAAGCUCAGGGCUCCCACUGAUUGUACAUUAUGAGACGGAGUCUUGCUAUGUUGCCCAGGCUGGUCUUGAACUCCUCACCUCAAGCGAUCCUCCCGUCUUGGCCUCCCAAGUGUCAGGAUUACGGGCAUGUGCUAUCACACCCAACCUGAUACAUUGCCUUUAUAAAUUUUUUUUUCUUUAUUCUAAAAACCAGAAAAAACAAAACUGGAUACAUGUGCAGAACAUGCAGGUUUGUUACAUAGCUGUACGUGUGCCAUGGUGGUUUGCUGCACCUAUUGACCUAUCCUACCAAGUGUGUUGGGGACUUGAGAUGCGUACAUGAGUGUGAUGUUUCCUGCUGAAAGCACAGGUGAGACGUGGUCUUGUAACACAGUGGUUAAGAAUGUGACUUUGGAGCCAGCCUGCUAGGGGCUGAAUUCUGACUCAGCCAUUUACUAACUGUGUGACCUUAGUCUGUCUAGUGACUGGUGUUGUCAUAAGAAGAGAGGGACACAGAGGGAAGAUGGCCACAUGAAGAUGGAGGCAGAGAUUGCAGUUAUGCUGCUGCAAACUAAGGAAUGGCUCUGGCCCUCCAAGGAUUGCUGAUAACCACCAGAAACUAGAAGAGACAAGGAAGGAUUCUUCCCUAGAGCCUUCAGAGGGAGCAUGGCCCUACUGACACCUGGAUUUCAAACUUGUAGCUUCCUAAACUGCAAGAGAAUAAAUUUCUGUUGUUUUAAGCCA